UUUUGGUUGGUUUGUUUCACAGAUUUUCAUCAAACUUGGAAAACAUGGGAUCAAAUGGAAUGGUCUACAAAUAUGGAUAGUUACCAAGUUAGUUUGUAACUAACUUAGUAACUAUCCAUAUUAAAUACAGCAUGUAGACUUAAUGGUCAUAACUGCUGGUGGUGUUGGACAAUCAGCUGUUGAAUACUUUUUUAAACGGCCUCUUUUUGAAAAUGAAGACCAAAAUUCAGCUGAUAGGAAACUAAACCGGAUUAAUUGUACAAGAGAAACAACUCAACAUAUCAGGUUCAAGUCAUAGUCGAGGAGGGGUCGUCUCACCCGGUCCAAUGUCAGGUCAACCCGACUGGUUUGGAUGGGGUUGUGGUCUGGGGUGAUGCAACAUUCCCCUCACCUUCUUUUUAUAAUCCGACUCGACUCGACAGCCGGAUGAGUUUUCUCUUCAAGAUGAGAACCACUACAUUCCAAAUGGAGCCUCGUCUGUAUUUAAUUCAACUGGUGCCAGUGGAGGAUUGCAGCAGCAAUGGAGUCGAGAGGAGACGUAUAACCGGGACGAGGAGCUAUUAUUUCGGCCCCGUGGACACUUGACGUCUGGCGGGAGUCAACCGAGUCCGUUCCACCGGAGGGAACCCUCAGCGCGCAUCGCCUGGUGGAGUCAGAAGCUUCCGUGGGUGGAGAUGACGCUCGCUGCCGUGAUGAUAUUCCUGUUUGUUGUUAUUGCUAAAAACGGUUAAAAAAACAUGUUUUGUAAUAAUGUAAUGUAAUAAAUAAUCUGUGAAACUGUGA
Molecule: long non-coding RNA, 783 nt
Organism: Pseudoliparis swirei
Lineage: Eukaryota; Metazoa; Chordata; Actinopteri; Perciformes; Liparidae
Exons: 8
Source: RefSeq, a predicted model, not a curated record